UGUGUAGUUGUGUAGUUGUAUCACUACAGCAACGAGGUGUACGCCUCCGGAUACGUGUGAGUGUCGGUGUUGUAUCACUGUGUAGUUGUAUCGUUGUGUCACUGUUGUGUUGUUGUAUUGUUGUGUAGUUGUGUAGUUGUGUAGUUGUGUUGUUGUAUCGUUGUAUCACUGUUGUGUUGUUGUGUAGUUGUGUUGUUGUGUUGUUGUGUUGUUGUGUAGUUGUAUCACUACAGCAACGAGGUGUACGCCUCUGGAUACGUGUGAGUGUCUCCUAUGGUGUAUAGUUGUGUAGUUGUAUCAUUGUGUCACUGUUGUGUAGUUGUGUUGUUGUGUUGUUGUGUUGUUGUGUAGUUGUAUCACUACAGCAACGAAGUGUACGCCUCCGGAUACGUGUGAGUGUCAGUGUUGUAUCACUGUGUCCUUGUAUCAUUGUGUAGUUGUAUCAUUGUAUCACUGUUGUGUUGUUGUGUAGUUGUGUAGUUGUGUAGUUGUAUCACUACAGCAACGAGGUGUACGCCUCCGGAUACGUGAAGGUGCUUCCGGACCCACAGGACUCGACGCAGCAACAACACGACAACGACCAGCCCCACAACCACGGUCACACCCCAUAGAGACACAUAGAGACCCCAUAGAGACCCCAUAGAGACCCAUAGAGACCCUAUAGACCCCAUAGAGACCCAUAGAAACCCCAUAGAGACCCAUAGAGACCCCAUAGAGACCCAUAGGGACCCAUAGAGACCCCAUAGAGACCCAUAGAAACCCCAUAGAGACCCAUAGAGACCCCAUAGAGACCCCAUAGAGACCCAUAGAGACCCCAUAGAGACCCCAUAGAGACCCCAUAGGGACCCAUAGAGACCCCAUAGGGACCCCAUAGGGACCCAUAGAGACCCCAUAGAGACCCUACAGAGAACUAUAGGGACCCAUAGCACCCCAUAGAGAUCCAUAGGGACCCAUAGAGCCCCACAGAAACCCCAUAGAGACCCAUAGAAACCCCAUAGAGACCCAUAGAGAUCCAUAGAACCCCAUAGAGACCCACAGAGACCCCAUAGAAACCCCAUAGACACCCCAAGAGACCCAUAGCGCCCCAUAGGGACCCAUAGAGCCCCAUAGGUCCCCAUAGAGAUCCCCUAGAAUGCCAUAAAUACCAUAAUGGAACCCCGUAGAUCCCAUAGGGACCCCACAGACCCCAUAGAGACCCCAUAGAGACCCAUAGAACACCAUAGAGACCCAUAGAAACCCCAUAGAGACCCAUAGAAAACCCCAUAGAGACCCAUAGAAACCCCAUAGAGACCCAUAGAACACCAUAGAGACCCAUAGAAACCCCAUUGACCCCUAUAGGCCCCAUUGACCCCAUAGAACCUCCAUAGACCCCAUAGAGCUCCCACUGACCCCAUAGAGACCCCAAUAGACCCCAUAGAGCCCCAUAGAGCCCCCAUUGACCCUAUAGAGCCCCAUAGAGCCCCCAUUGACCCCAUAGAGCCCUUAUUGACCCUAUAGAGACCCCAUAGAGACCCCAUUGACCCUAAUAGACCUCAUUGACCCCAUAGAACCUCAAUAGACCCCAUAGAGCCCCAUAGAGCCCCCAUUGACCCUAUAGAGACCCCAAUAGCCCCCAUAGAGCCCCAUAGAGACCCCACUGACCC
Long non-coding RNA from Coturnix japonica (Japanese quail), 1643 nucleotides. NCBI's taxonomy places the organism in Eukaryota, Metazoa, Chordata, Aves, Galliformes, Phasianidae. The record is from Ensembl.